UUUUGCAUAGUUUAAAAUAAAACACUACACUUUCACUGCAGAGACAGGCAUUUUCCUUGCAAUAC
Molecule: transfer RNA, 65 nt
Filed under: Clytra espanoli
Lineage: Eukaryota; Metazoa; Arthropoda; Insecta; Coleoptera; Chrysomelidae
Description: tRNA-Glu
Source: RNAcentral